Molecule: ribosomal RNA, 230 nt
Filed under: uncultured bacterium
Lineage: Bacteria
Description: partial 16S ribosomal RNA
Rfam family: Bacterial small subunit ribosomal RNA
Source: RNAcentral
UGCGCAGGUGGGCUUGUAAGUCAGUGGUGAAAUACUGCCGCUUAACGGUAGAACUGCCAUUGAUACUGCAAGUCUUGAGUAUGGUUGAGGUAGGCGGAAUGUGUUGUGUAGCGGUGAAAUGCAUAGAUAUGACACAGAACUCCAAUUGCGAAGGCAGCUUACUAAGCCAUUACUGACGCUGAGGCACGAAAGCGUGGGGAGCGAACAGGAUUAGAUACCCUGGGUAGUCC